Camellia sinensis is the source of this 1164-nucleotide long non-coding RNA. RefSeq lists it as uncharacterized. Lineage: Eukaryota; Viridiplantae; Streptophyta; Magnoliopsida; Ericales; Theaceae. The record is from RefSeq and is a predicted model, not a curated record.
CUUAUGACAACAUUUUUGAAGGUGUUUAUUUUCCCUAUUUUCUUUUAUUUAUAUUUGCCCUAGUCUGGCACAGGCUCGCUCAAACUCUAGACAUUGUUCUCUUUCUCUCGCUCGCCCAUCGUCGUCUGCAGAACAACGAGUCUCUAUCUUUUACAUGAUCCCACACUUUGGAUUUCUCGCUCGAUCAAAUAGUUGCUAAGGGACAUGACAUGAUGAUGGGGUUCAGUCCAUUGCUUCCGACAUAAUCUAAAGGUCUAAUGGAGAGAGUUCAGCAAAAACUCAAGAUUGAGCUCAAGCAUACCCAACUCUAUUGAAUGUUUAUGCACCCAAGUUUAAGACUGGUGGAACAUUUUGGCCAGUAGUACACAGUCCAACAAUAUUUUCCCUAAUAUUGACGCAAAUUAUUGCCAUUGGAAUAUUUGGGCUGAAGAAAAUUCCCCUGGCAUCCACCUUUUGUGUUUCUCUUCCAGUUCUCACUCUUAUAUUCAAUGACUAUUGCCGGAAACGUUUUCUACCCAUAUUCCAAGCUUAUUCUGCUGAGGGAUGAUUUGCAAAUCCCUUCUUCUCCAUACUUCCCAGCCUAUGACUAUGCCUAUGCGCAAGGACAUGGAUGAGGACACCCCCCAAUGGUGCAAGAGCAUUUUCAGAGUGUUAUCAGUCAGCUUUUUCAACAUAGGAUAAUACGUUGCGGUGGAGCUGUGAAUCAUGAAUUGUAAAUGGCUAUUUGGGAUCUCAUAUCAUUAAUGGAGUCUAAGCUGAGAAGUGGAACCACCCUCAUUGUGGACCGCUAUUCAUUUUCUGGGGUAGCUUUUUCAUCUGCCAAGGGUCUUGACUUUGAAUGGUGCAAGGUGUGAAGACAUGCUUCAAUUUAAAAUUCCAAUCUACAUAUCAGGUUUUGUUGAAGGAAUAGUUGAUAUGAUUGAGCAGGUGAUGUUUGGGAGCCAAACUAAGAUUAUGUUGCGCUUUUUUUUUCUUUUCUUUUCUUUUUUUCUUUUAUUUAUAUUUAUAUUUAUAUUUUUUUGAGGACUUGAAUCUUUUAGUAUAAUAUAUUUUAAGGAUGGUUGAUGGAUAUUUGUUUUGCAUGUAUGAAAGUUUAUGUUUUGUUUGCACACUUAUAUGUGAAUAGGUGAAUAUUUCUAUUAUAAGUUUAAAUUAAUUUGUUAA